Molecule: RNA transcript, 1881 nt
Organism: Ziziphus jujuba (common jujube)
Lineage: Eukaryota; Viridiplantae; Streptophyta; Magnoliopsida; Rosales; Rhamnaceae
Gene name: basic leucine zipper 19
Exons: 4
Source: RefSeq, a predicted model, not a curated record
ACAUUCUGAGUUCUCUGAGCCCUCCAAGAGAGAGAGUGAGAGAGAGAAAAGCCCUUGUGGAUUCUCUGAACCAAUCGCACAUCUCUGUAGAACUUUCAUAUUUGGAGUUUCACCAUCAAAAUGUCGCCAUAUUCCCUUCUCUAGGGUUUCUCUACUGUCUUUCUCUAUCUCUCUCACCUUGCUAUAAUCGGCGGCUUUCUGUUCUCUGCGGUUUCGAUAUCAAAUCCAUUAUUUUUUCUUUUGCCCCCAAUUUCGUUUUUAGCCACAGAACUUUAUCGAAUCUAUUUAUUCGAUAAAUCUCUCACUAUCUGAAUCUUCAUCGCAAUUUAUUUCUUCUUUUUUUUCUUUUUUUUGAGCUGUUCGUGGAAAUCUUAGGUUUAUAGCUGGAUUAAAUUGGCUAUCAGACUCUUUUGUUUGCUGUUGGAAACGAUUUUGUGAUUUGGGAAUCUGUUGGAUUUGCACUACUAUAAAAUUUCCCAUCUAGGUAAUGGUAAUUUCUUUCCGAAACGAAGAAAAUUGCUCGAAAUUUCAUCUGGGUCAGGGUCAAGUCUUGAACUUUCGCUGAAAAACCUGCUCUGUUCUGCAAUUUCAAUCUCGUAAUGGACGACGGGGAGCUGGAUUUCUCGAACCAAGAAGUGUUUUCGAGUCCAAACAUGGGAGGUGGUGAGCUUCCCAGCAGUUGUUCAAUGGACAGCUUCUUCGAUGAGCUUUUCAAGGACACUCACGCUUGCACUCACACCCACACUUGCAACCCUCCAGGCCCUGAUUACUCUCAUACCCACACCUGUUUCCAUGUCCACACCAAGAUUGUCCCUGCUUCAUCCGAAGACAAAGCUGCAACAGAUGACACUGCGGAAUCAGCAGAGAAGAAGUCCAAGAAACGCCCUAUGGGCAAUCGUGAAGCGGUUCGUAAGUAUAGGGAGAAAAAGAAGGCAAGGGCAGCUUCUUUGGAAGAUGAAGUUGUGAGAUUGAGAGCUUUGAAUCAGCAACUGUUGAAGAGGUUACAGGGUCAGGCUGCUUUGGAGGCUGAGAUUGCGAGGCUUAAGUGUUUGCUUGUGGACAUUAGAGGGAGGAUUGAAGGGGAGAUUGGAUCUUUUCCUUAUCAGAAAUCUGUUAGUCCCAACAUGCCUAACCAAAGCAUGACCGGUGCACAUGCUUAUGUGAUGAAUCCAUGUAAUGUACAGUGUGAAGACCAGGUCUAUUGCCUGCACCCGGAGAUGGAUGGCAAAUGCGGAGAUGGUGUUGCAUUGAAUGGUCAAGGUUUAAGCGGUUGUGAAUUUGAGAGUCUUCAAUGUCUGGCGAAUCAGAACCCGGGGAAGGAGCUUACUGGUUGUGGAGUUCGGAAUGUGGCAUCUAAUGCCAAUUCCUCUAGCUCAAAUAAGAGGAAAGGAGGGGCUCAUGCAGCAACAGCCAGUUGAAUUGCUGAUAAGGGGUGUUGUCCUAAUCAUCUAGAGUACAUAUUCUCUUUCAAUAAGCAGUAUGUCAGCCUGCAGCAUCAUCCUUCCCUCAGACAUAGGAAGAUGGAAUGUCUUUCAUGUUUCAAUAAUAUGAGCUGUAAACAGAGUUAUGCCAUCCACAGUAAAUGAUUGAUGGAUGGGUUGAUCGCACAAUGUAAUAUAUUUAUGCAUCUGAUCAUUGGUACCUCUUGCCACCAUUGGGUGAAAAACGAAGAUGGCAGAAACAAAGAUCUCUGUGUAGGCACAUAUGGCCUUUCAAUGGUUGUUUAAUUCACCGAAUGAUGUGCUUAUGCUGGCUAAUUUGUUUGUCCGAACAAGUAUUAUUUGGACGGUAAACUUUUCUAAACCUAAUGUUAGAGGUGUUGUUUGAGUUUUCAUCCAUUUGAUGUUUCCUGGUUAAUAUAAAGAGAAAAAUUUGAUUCAA